Molecule: unclassified non-coding RNA, 520 nt
Filed under: uncultured Glomus
Lineage: Eukaryota; Fungi; Glomeromycota; Glomeromycetes; Glomerales; Glomeraceae
Description: SSU rRNA
Rfam family: Eukaryotic small subunit ribosomal RNA
Source: RNAcentral
AGCAGCCGCGGUAAUUCCAGCUCCAAUAGCGUAUAUUAAAGUUGCUGCAGUUAAAAAGCCCGUAGUUGAAUUUCGGGAUCAAUAUGUUGGUCGUGCCUCGGUACGUACUAGCUUAUUGGUUUCUCCCUUCUGACGAACCAUGAUGUCAUUUAUUUGGUGUUAUGGGAAAUCAGGACUGUUACUUUGAAAAAAUUAGAGUGUUUAAAGCAGGCUCACGCUUGAAUACAUUAGCAUGGAAUAAUGAAAUAGGACGUUUGAUUCUAUUUUGUUGGUUUCUAGGAUCGACGUAAUGAUUAAUAGGGAUAGUUGGGGGCAUUAGUAUUCAAUUGUCAGAGGUGAAAUUCUUGGAUUUAUUGAAGACUAACUACUGCGAAAGCAUUUGCCAAGGAUGUUUUCAUUAAUCAAGAACGAAAGUUAGGGGAUCGAAGACGAUCAGAUACCGUCGUAGUCUUAACCAUAAACUAUGCCGACUAGGGAUCGGAUGAUGUUAAUUUUUUAAUGACUCAUUCGGCGCCUUACG